CCACUCGGCCACCUCGUCGACAGGUCUCUGUCGUUAAGUUCUUCUCUCUGGGGUUUGAACUCUUACUCUUGCUGGCGUGGCUCGCCUGUAUUUUUGGGAAUCCUGCUUAGCACAACGAAGAAAACCGGCCGCUCAGAAACCUUCUUCAGACUGAACAUCCGGAGCUGCGCCUGUCCUCUGGAGCGCUGCUGGCCGUACAAAAUUACCAGGAUCCGCCACAAAACAACCCCGCAGGAUCACCGGGCUCCUUCGACGAGGAGUCCUUGAAAUUUUAUGAGAGAAGCCGGACAUCGGGUCUGGACAAGACUUAACAAAUAAGGGGACUUAAAGCGGACACAGAAAAACAAACUGACCCCGACGUGAUUUGAACACGCAACCUUCUGAUCUGGAGUCAGACGCGCUACCGUUGCGCCACGAGGCCAGCCGGCCCCUUCGUUGGGCAGCUCUGUCUUUGACUCUUGUUCGGCCAGGCGGCUGGAGGCCGGCAGCAGAGACCCGAGAUCUGAGCGCGGGUUGGUUGGACACGGCCGGUAGCUAAGCAGACUGAGGCUUUACGGCUCUGGCUUAUCCGUGCCUCCCACCCUGCCUUAGAGCCCUGUCAAAUACCAGGUGGAGGGCGCUGACCUGAUCGCCAGUGCCACCCAGAGCUCACAGCCCAGCGAGGUUCCGCCCAGAAUCAGACAGAAAGACGGAUACCAGGCAGACCAUGGUGAAGCUAUGUCAGAGUCCAGAAUACCCAAAGCGGUGGGCGAUGAGCUCCUCCAACAGGACGCAGAUUUCUGCGGAACCUUGAGAGAUACCCAGCUCAGUCCCCAGAAUAGUGGGAGACUAUAACAUCAGCAGUGUUACAAUCCUAUCCCACGAUGUGGCCUCCUGACUUCUCCGUGGCACAAGCCUCCCCUGCUUCACCUGGCUGGUUUGGGAGCAGAGCAGACCAGUGAAGUAUGAUGGGCCCAUUCUGACCCAUCAAUCUGGAGACCACCAUUCAAUGUGGUAAUCUUCUGCACUAAGAGGGAAGGCAGCACAUGUCACUGGCAUGCAAUGAAGGAGCAGCUGUCUGGGAAGUAGGGGAAAGCCUGGAAGCCCCUAGCAGUGUCUCAGGUCCAGCAAUACAUAUAGAUUUCUCCUCUUGCCACUUCCUUCACUCAGG
RNAcentral lists this transfer RNA (1150 nucleotides) under Heterocephalus glaber (naked mole-rat). RNAcentral's name for it is "lncRNA (ENSHGLG00000047947.1)". The record is from RNAcentral. Lineage: Eukaryota; Metazoa; Chordata; Mammalia; Rodentia; Bathyergidae.